GCAGUCCUGAGGAAGUGGGAUGGAGGAGAAGUUAACUCUUCCUCUUACGGCUCCCUGUGUGCAACACAUCCACAGCCCUGAGCUGCCGUUCUCUGUAUUUGACUUAGCAGCAGGAUUAAGUGUGCCAUCAGGUUCAGGAGACAUGGGUGAAGCCGGACAGAGAGCAAGCAGGACCACGCUCCCACCGGCAGCUGAGGGCUUUUGUCUCACCACGCCUUCCCCACCGCGAUGGACUUUAGCCUCACACCAUGAUCCGAAAUAAACGCUUCCUCCCCUACGCUGUUUCCUUAAGGCUUUCCUGGCGUUUCCUCCUGCCUGUGGUGGUCUGAGAUGCCGGCACCCUGCAAACUUCAACUCCUCGGUCACUUUUCCAACUAAGGAUCUCUGGAUUCUUCCAUCCACUACCGCCAUGUCUGGUCUAAGAGGUGCCAGAGAGUUCCGUACAGCCUGGACUGAGAUGAAACAACCAGUUACCCCAGGAUGUGGCAGCACCCCAGCUUUCUCAGGUCCCCAAAGAUGAUCAACGCCCCCAGGUCAGCAGGAAGUAGUCUUGAGAACUCGACGCCCCCUUUCCCUAAGCUGCCAUGCCUAACUCCCCACCUUUUUUAUUAAUGAGCAAAUGUGGAAAUGAAAGGAUUCAGGCAUUAUGGUGGCCUGCCCCUGUUACCUGGCAGAAUGCACCCUGGUCAGCCCCGGGUUCCAUGAGUACUAAGUAUGCACUGAGGUAUAAAGGACCCCUUUAGAAGACAGACCCCCUGCCCACUUACCCUUUUCUGCUCUCUCCUGUUUUGCUCUCCUCUCUGACCCCCUUUCUCUUACCCUCUGCCUCUUGUUCUCCCCCCUCCCUUCAUCUCUCUCUUCUUCCCCUCUCACACUCCCUGCCCUUUAAUAAACUCCAUGGCUACUGAAUCUCUUGGUUCCUGUUCCAUCACAAUCGAGAUGCUGGCGAUUUAAACAAAAGAACAACAGAGGCUACAUGCAGCCUUCACCCUGGCACCUCUGCUUUAAGGGAUCCUCCAUUCAGUUGUUUCCCUUUGUGUCUGUUGAAGCUCUGGGAGGCUGCUGAACGGACUCCACGCUCUGUUGGAGAAGAGUGUGCCAUCAUAACCGCCCAGGGAAAUGUCUGAUGCAGGCUUUCCUGAUCACCUACUCCCGCUUUGAGAUAGCAGGGGUGUCAGCAGGGCCAGCUUUGGUCUACGGCUCAUAGGGCUGGUCCCCAGGAUGAGGAUGGAAGGAGGAGAAACGAUGACCUCACCAUCAGCAUGAGGUCAGAACCUGAGGCCCUCCUGUGGCCAUUUCUGUUCCUCUCAGCACAUUCUUGAUGCCCCCUGUGCCACAAGGGGAUUUCCAUCAAAUCAGACCUCACAGCA
Long non-coding RNA from Mesocricetus auratus (golden hamster), 1370 nucleotides. RefSeq lists it as uncharacterized. The transcript is spliced from 4 exons. NCBI's taxonomy places the organism in Eukaryota, Metazoa, Chordata, Mammalia, Rodentia, Cricetidae. The record is from RefSeq and is a predicted model, not a curated record.